This 439-nucleotide ribosomal RNA is filed under the name uncultured bacterium. RNAcentral describes it as "bacterial SSU rRNA". It matches the Rfam family "Bacterial small subunit ribosomal RNA", at positions 8 to 446 of the family's 1533-position model. The record is from RNAcentral.
AGAGUUUGAUCCUGGCUCAGAUUGAACGCUGGCGGCGUGCCUAACACAUGCAAGUCGAGCGGUAACAGGUGUAGCAAUACAUGCUGACGAGCGGCGAACGGGUGAGUAAUGCUUUGGAAUCUUCCCAGUAGUGGGGAAUAACCAGUCGAAAGAUUGGCUAAUACCGCAUACGUCUGUAAAGGGAAAGCGGGGGCUCGUAAGAACCUCGCGCUAUUGGAUGAGCCAAAGUCGGAUUAGCUAGUUGGUGGGGCAAUGGCCUACCAAGGCGACAAUCCGUAGCUGGUCUGAGAGGACGACCAGCCACACCGGAACUGAGACACGGUCCGGACUCCUACGGGAGGCAGCAGUGGGGAAUAUUGGACAAUGGGGGAAACCCUGAUCCAGCGACGCCGCGUGUGUGAAGAAGGCCUGCGGGUUGUAAAGCACUUUUAGUGGGGAC